RNAcentral lists this ribosomal RNA (593 nucleotides) under uncultured bacterium. Its description in RNAcentral is "bacterial SSU rRNA". It matches the Rfam family "Bacterial small subunit ribosomal RNA", at positions 788 to 1381 of the family's 1533-position model. The record is from RNAcentral.
UGGUAGUNCACGCCGUAAACGAUGAGUGCUAGGUGUUGGGUCCUUUCCGGGACUCAGUGCCGCAGCUAACGCAUUAAGCACUCCGCCUGGGGAGUACGACCGCAAGGUUGAAACUCAAAGGAAUUGACGGGGGCCCGCACAAGCGGUGGAGCAUGUGGUUUAAUUCGAAGCAACGCGAAGAACCUUACCAGGUCUUGACAUCCCUCUGACCGCUCUAGAGAUAGAGUUUUCCUUCGGGACAGAGGUGACAGGUGGUGCAUGGUUGUCGUCAGCUCGUGUCGUGAGAUGUUGGGUUAANNNNNGCAACGAGCGCAACCCCUAUUGUUAGUUGCCAUCAUUCAGUUGGGCACUAUAGCGAGACUGCCGGUAAUAAACCGGAGGAAGGUGGGGAUGACGUCAAAUCAUCAUGCCCCUUAUGACCUGGGCUACACACGUGCUACAAUGGCUGGUACAACGAGUCGCGAGUCGGUGACGGCAAGCUAAUCUCUUAAAGCCAGUCUCAGUUCGGAUUGUAGGCUGCAACUCGCCUACAUGAAGUCGGAAUCGCUAGUAAUCGCGGAUCAGCACGCCGCGGUGAAUACGUUCCCGGGCCU